AUACGGAGGAUCCGAGCGUUAUCCGGAUUUAUUGGGUUUAAAGGGAGCGUAGGCGGAUUAUUAAGUCAGUUGUGAAAGUUUGCGGCUCAACCGUAAAAUUGCGGUUGAUACUGGUAGUCUUGAGUGCAGCAGAGGUAGGCGGAAUUCGUGGUGUAGCGGUGAAAUGCUUAGAUAUCACGAAGAACUCCGAUUGCGAAGGCAGCUUACUGGACUGUAACUGACGCUGAUGCUCGAAAGUGUGGGUAUCAAACAGGAUUAGAUACCCUGGUAGUCCACACAGUAAACGAUGAAUACUUGUUUUCGGCGAUAUAAUGUCGGAGGCAAAGCGAAAGCGAUAAGUAUUCCACCUGGGGAGUACGCCGGCAACGGUGAAACUCAAAGGAAUUGACGGGG
RNAcentral lists this ribosomal RNA (393 nucleotides) under uncultured bacterium. RNAcentral describes it as "partial 16S ribosomal RNA". It matches the Rfam family "Bacterial small subunit ribosomal RNA", at positions 523 to 918 of the family's 1533-position model. The record is from RNAcentral.